This 253-nucleotide ribosomal RNA is filed under the name uncultured bacterium. RNAcentral's name for it is "partial 16S ribosomal RNA". It matches the Rfam family "Bacterial small subunit ribosomal RNA", at positions 524 to 776 of the family's 1533-position model. The record is from RNAcentral.
UACAGAGACCCCGAGCAUUAUCCGGAUUUAUUGGGCGUAAAGAGUUCGUAGGCGGUUUUGUAAGUCAUUUGUUAAAUCCUCAGGCUUAACUUGGGGGCUGCAGGUGAUACUGCAAGGCUAGAGAGUGGGAGAGGCAAGCGGAAUGCCCGGUGUAGCGGUAAAAUGCGUUAAUAUCGGGUAGAACACCAAAGGCGAAGGCAGCUUGCUAGAACACUUCUGACGCUCAAGAACGAAAGCGUGGGUAGCGAAAGGG